RNAcentral lists this ribosomal RNA (2902 nucleotides) under Escherichia coli DEC1D. Its description in RNAcentral is "bacterial LSU rRNA". It matches the Rfam family "Bacterial large subunit ribosomal RNA". Lineage: Bacteria; Pseudomonadati; Pseudomonadota; Gammaproteobacteria; Enterobacterales; Enterobacteriaceae. The record is from RNAcentral.
UUAAGCGACUAAGCGUACACGGUGGAUGCCCUGGCAGUCAGAGGCGAUGAAGGACGUGCUAAUCUGCGAUAAGCGUCGGUGAGGUGAUAUGAACCGUUAUAACCGGCGAUUUCCGAAUGGGGAAACCCAGUGUGUUUCGACACACUAUCAUUAACUGAAUCCAUAGGUUAAUGAGGCGAACCGGGGGAACUGAAACAUCUAAGUACCCCGAGGAAAAGAAAUCAACCGAGAUUCCCCCAGUAGCGGCGAGCGAACGGGGAGGAGCCCAGAGCCUGAAUCAGUGUGUGUGUUAGUGGAAGCGUCUGGAAAGGCGUGCGAUACAGGGUGACAGCCCCGUACACAAAAAUGCACAUAUUGUGAGCUCGAUGAGUAGGGCGGGACACGUGGUAUCCUGUCUGAAUAUGGGGGGACCAUCCUCCAAGGCUAAAUACUCCUGACUGACCGAUAGUGAACCAGUACCGUGAGGGAAAGGCGAAAAGAACCCCGGCGAGGGGAGUGAAAAAGAACCUGAAACCGUGUACGUACAAGCAGUGGGAGCCUCUUAAUGGGGUGACUGCGUACCUUUUGUAUAAUGGGUCAGCGACUUAUAUUCUGUAGCAAGGUUAACCGAAUAGGGGAGCCGAAGGGAAACCGAGUCUUAACUGGGCGUUAAGUUGCAGGGUAUAGACCCGAAACCCGGUGAUCUAGCCAUGGGCAGGUUGAAGGUUGGGUAACACUAACUGGAGGACCGAACCGACUAAUGUUGAAAAAUUAGCGGAUGACUUGUGGCUGGGGGUGAAAGGCCAAUCAAACCGGGAGAUAGCUGGUUCUCCCCGAAAGCUAUUUAGGUAGCGCCUCGUGAAUUCAUCUCCGGGGGUAGAGCACUGUUUCGGCAAGGGGGUCAUCCCGACUUACCAACCCGAUGCAAACUGCGAAUACCGGAGAAUGUUAUCACGGGAGACACACGGCGGGUGCUAACGUCCGUCGUGAAGAGGGAAACAACCCAGACCGCCAGCUAAGGUCCCAAAGUCAUGGUUAAGUGGGAAACGAUGUGGGAAGGCCCAGACAGCCAGGAUGUUGGCUUAGAAGCAGCCAUCAUUUAAAGAAAGCGUAAUAGCUCACUGGUCGAGUCGGCCUGCGCGGAAGAUGUAACGGGGCUAAACCAUGCACCGAAGCUGCGGCAGCGACACUAUGUGUUGUUGGGUAGGGGAGCGUUCUGUAAGCCUGUGAAGGUGGCCUGUGAGGGUUGCUGGAGGUAUCAGAAGUGCGAAUGCUGACAUAAGUAACGAUAAAGCGGGUGAAAAGCCCGCUCGCCGGAAGACCAAGGGUUCCUGUCCAACGUUAAUCGGGGCAGGGUGAGUCGACCCCUAAGGCGAGGCCGAAAGGCGUAGUCGAUGGGAAACAGGUUAAUAUUCCUGUACUUGGUGUUACUGCGAAGGGGGGACGGAGAAGGCUAUGUUGGCCGGGCGACGGUUGUCCCGGUUUAAGCGUGUAGGCUGGUUUUCCAGGCAAAUCCGGAAAACCAAGGCUGAGGCGUGAUGACGAGGCACUACGGUGCUGAAGUGACAAAUGCCCUGCUUCCAGGAAAAGCCUCUAAGCAUCAGGUAACAUCAAAUCGUACCCCAAACCGACACAGGUGGUCAGGUAGAGAAUACCAAGGCGCUUGAGAGAACUCGGGUGAAGGAACUAGGCAAAAUGGUGCCGUAACUUCGGGAGAAGGCACGCUGAUAUGUAGGUGAAGCGACUUGCUCGUGGAGCUGAAAUCAGUCGAAGAUACCAGCUGGCUGCAACUGUUUAUUAAAAACACAGCACUGUGCAAACACGAAAGUGGACGUAUACGGUGUGACGCCUGCCCGGUGCCGGAAGGUUAAUUGAUGGGGUUAGCGGUAACGCGAAGCUCUUGAUCGAAGCCCCGGUAAACGGCGGCCGUAACUAUAACGGUCCUAAGGUAGCGAAAUUCCUUGUCGGGUAAGUUCCGACCUGCACGAAUGGCGUAAUGAUGGCCAGGCUGUCUCCACCCGAGACUCAGUGAAAUUGAACUCGCUGUGAAGAUGCAGUGUACCCGCGGCAAGACGGAAAGACCCCGUGAACCUUUACUAUAGCUUGACACUGAACAUUGAGCCUUGAUGUGUAGGAUAGGUGGGAGGCUUUGAAGUGUGGACGCCAGUCUGCAUGGAGCCGGCCUUGAAAUACCACCCUUUAAUGUUUGAUGUUCUAACGUGGGCCCGUUAUCCGGGUUGCGGACAGUGUCUGGUGGGUAGUUUGACUGGGGCGGUCUCCUCCUAAAGAGUAACGGAGGAGCACGAAGGUUGGCUAAUCCUGGUCGGACAUCAGGAGGUUAGUGCAAUGGCAUAAGCCAGCUUGACUGCGAGCGUGACGGCGCGAGCAGGUGCGAAAGCAGGUCAUAGUGAUCCGGUGGUUCUGAAUGGAAGGGCCAUCGCUCAACGGAUAAAAGGUACUCCGGGGAUAACAGGCUGAUACCGCCCAAGAGUUCAUAUCGACGGCGGUGUUUGGCACCUCGAUGUCGGCUCAUCACAUCCUGGGGCUGAAGUAGGUCCCAAGGGUAUGGCUGUUCGCCAUUUAAAGUGGUACGCGAGCUGGGUUUAGAACGUCGUGAGACAGUUCGGUCCCUAUCUGCCGUGGGCGCUGGAGAACUGAGGGGGGCUGCUCCUAGUACGAGAGGACCGGAGUGGACGCAUCACUGGUGUUCGGGUUGUCAUGCCAAUGGCACUGCCCGGUAGCUAAAUGCGGAAGAGAUAAGUGCUGAAAGCAUCUAAGCACGAAACUUGCCCCGAGAUGAGUUCUCCCUGACCCUUUAAGGGUCCUGAAGGAACGUUGAAGACGACGACGUUGAUAGGCCGGGUGUGUAAGCGCAGCGAUGCGUUGAGCUAACCGGUACUAAUGAACCGUGAGGCUUAACCUU